Molecule: long non-coding RNA, 3517 nt
Organism: Centrocercus urophasianus (Greater sage-grouse)
Lineage: Eukaryota; Metazoa; Chordata; Aves; Galliformes; Phasianidae
Exons: 3
Source: RefSeq, a predicted model, not a curated record
AGCCGGGAGCAGGUGGCAGAGGCGGGCGGGUCCCCACCGCCAGCACCCACGGAGCACCGCCGGGUUUUUAGGGGCUUUGCACAUCUGCAGUACUUACAGAGACAAGGGGCUUGUUGAUUCCAGCAGAAGGGCUCUCCAGUCUGUGCUGUGGCUGUGAUAGAGUGCCUAGAACAAACACUCAGAUGAGAUCCCGGUUUCUUUCCAGACUUGAACAACAGUGCAGUUGAAAAGAGUGACAAAACAAGCUUCUUCUCAAGCUACCACACAAAAGACGUCAGUCAGGAUAUUUACAACAAACACUGGCUCCAAAUGCGAGGACUCCCAUUUCCUGGCAGUGUUGCUCUACACAGUGUUUUCUCUGGAAGGAAUCAAUUACAUCAGUGGGUUCGGGAAUGUAUGUUGAGAUGGUUUAAUCAGAGUUGAAAAUCACAGUACAGAAAGGGGCUUCAGUUCUUCUGGCUGGACACAACGUACUCCAUUUGGGAGACACUAAGGAAUUUCACUGAUACCAGACACAUUAGCUCAUCUCCAUCCAGUGUUAACAUGGCUGGUGGCAGUACUGUAUGAAUCUGAUUCAGCAAAGCACUGAAGCACAUGCUAGACAUUAAUUUCUUUAAUUAGACUUAGACAUGUGCUCUGGGGUGAGGAUGUGCCACAAUACCCACAGAAAUCACGGCUCCGUUCAUCAGGUAAUUUGUUUCGACCAGUGAAUUCCUCCGUAGACAGAAGUUUUGUCAUGUUCCCCAUAUGUUCCCCCUGUCUGUUGCUUGGCUCUCCCUGUUGACUUUAUUCUUACAGUUCUAGGCAGUCUUUCAGAACUUAACACUUCCUCUUCAUUAUACAUUUGUACAACAUCUAGUACAAAUAAGGCUGUGGUUUCUAUAGCUCUUGUAACACCAGUUAUUACGACAGGAAUGGAUUAAGUGCAAGCUUUACUGCCUUCCUAAAUAGAGGCUUAUAGUUAGACCCUAAUCUUUCUUAUGUUUUCCUCGGUGUAUGAAAUGGGUCUUUACUCAUCCCAGCUUGCUUUAGAUCCCCAUGGGGCAAAAUGCCUGUGAGUGGAAUAACAUCUAUUUAAAAGGAUCAAUAGGAAGCAAGAAGUGAAGAUUAAAAGGUCUGGAAAACUUCUAAGACUUCAGCUGAUACGUUGUGUAACACCAAGUUUGUAGCAAGAUGACAGAAGCCGCGUUCCUAUGUGACUUGACAAGCUAUGGAAAUGCCAAAUGUUUCUGCAGUAAGCUAAUCUGCUGAUAAGAAAUUAAAGCAGUGGUUAAUUAGAGACCAGGUUCAAGGGAAAGCUCAGCUGAGCCUACACAGUUAUUGCUUCACUGAUAGAGCAUGAGGUUUCAAAAGAAGCACUGAGUAUAGGCAGGUAACCUGCAAGAGAAGGGCCAAAGCCCACUCUGUUCCACCAGUGUAAAAUUUAUUGUCAGUAGGAGCAGAUUCAGACUGAUAAUCAUCAGUAAGUUUCAGUGAACUGGCUGCUUAAUUGUGUGAGAGUUGCGAGAGAAAGAUAAAGGUGGAUCUAAGUCAUUAUCCAGGGGCAAGUUCUAACAGUGCUGGACAAACAUUUUGCUGAAGGGUCUUUCUUAGGCACUGGGUUUUUAUCUGAAUUCUAUCAACUGCAUUCCUAGGAGGAGGAAAAAACCCACAAGAGCAAACCCUCACCAAGAGAAGAAACAGUACGUGUUUGAUUGACAGCCAUGUAUUCUUCUGUUUUGUUUUAAAUUAGGAUUUUCAAAGGGGUAGGGCUAAGGAGCUUCUCUUGCAGAAGACCGAGGGUCACAUCCCUUGCCUGUCUAAACCAAGUUGGCUUAAUUGACUCCUUUGCUGAUUUAUAGCAGCUGAGUGUCUGCACUGAAAGUAUAGACCCAACAAAGAACCAGCAGCACACCCAUGCCUGUUCUUCCAUGAUUCCAAGUACAGCAUGAUUCAUACCCAAGUACAGGAGAAGUGGAAUGCAAAAAGCAAACACAAGACAAGGUGAAAAGUAAUUACAUUUCCUUGACUGUAGAUUAAAGAAAGAGGAAAAAAAGCCUAGCACUAAAAAUUCAUUAGAUUCUUUCUCUUUAGAAACCUGUAAACUAUGAAGGCAGGCUCUUUAUUGAAUUAAGUUUUUUGGCAGAAAAAAUAAAUAUUGUUGUGUGAAUUAUUGGAACAUGCAUCCAAUUAAAAUCCUAAAACAGAAAUGCACUGUUAAUGUAAGGGCUAUUAAGCUGAGCUGAAAUGCAUAGAUCAUAUUUAAACUGAAAGGAGGUAAAUAAUCCAUUGCACUUAUGUGAUUGCCAUUGGCAGAAAAGGAAGUAAUGCAGAAUUAUGAUAAAGGGUGCAGCCAAUAAUGGAAGCUGUGGCUGGCGUCCCAGAAAGAGACACCACCCAGAACUGGUGAGUAAAGCAAGUAGUAAGAUAAAUAAAGUAGUAGCAAGACCAAGUACACGAUCUGUUUUGUUGAUCAUAGGCCUACACAACCAUUCUCUGCAUGCAGAGAGGCCUGGCCAACCACUGAAAUUGCAAGGCAUAGAACACUGGGGUGGAGAAGCCUUGGCUAACCUGAAAUUAUGGGCUGCUGGCAUUUAAUCCUGCUGUGUGACAGGCAGGUGGGUGUACAUGUGUGUGUACUGGUGCAUGGACUGCUCUCCAUUUCAGCCCAAACUGGAAGGUGACAGUUUGCUUUGGUUAGUUUUAAAUGGUUUGAAUUGUGUAAACAUUAAUUUCACAGUCACAGGCUGAGAUAGUAGAGACUGUGAGAAGAAAAAUUUAAGAAAAAUGUGUGUACAAGAGUAGAAAGGGUUGCUGCUCUGUGCUGCAGAGGAGAAGAAAACUUUCUGCAAGAUGGACAGAACAGCCAACUUUAACAGGAAUUACCCCAUAGGGGCAAAGUAUUUUCUUAGUGAGAACAGAGAGUGAUUUUUAUUUUUGCCACAGAAGAUAUUAAGGCUCACUAUCUGUGAUGGAGUCUUUCUGACUUCAGAACCAGCAGAGCAAUACUGUGUGUCCAAUAUCAAGUCACAAAACAAUUUAUUUGCCUUUUCCAUCAGAACACACUGUUCCUACAGGGGCAUAAUUUUACAGCUCAACACUCGUGCUGGCUCUGAAAGCUUCUAUUAAGACAGAAAUCUCCCAGAUAAUAGAAAACUGUCUUAGGCCCCGUUCUAUCGGAUCUCAGCUGCUGUCUGUCCAUUUGGGAGUUUAUAGCAAGCUCAUCUUUGCAAUAAUAAAGAGACUUUAUAAGAGGUCUUAAAAGGCCAACAGUUUCCAACAGCAUCCCUGUCCUCCUUCCCCCACUGUUGCCUCUUUUUCCUCCGUUGUUUCUGGGAAUGAGGCAUCACUGCAAGUCAGAUCUGCUAGGGAUGAGAGACCUUGCACUGAGUUUGGGGGGUGUCAAGAUUUGAUACCAUUUUGACCUCCAGUGCCAACGUACCCUGCAGCCCAGGGGUAUAAUCACCCCAGUGCUGCCCACAAGGGCACUCGCUGUGAUACCCUCAUCUUUCACCUCCAUAGCUGUGCUGCUCUCUGA